CACGUAGGGUGCGAGCGUUGUCCGGAAUUAUUGGGCGUAAAGAGCUCGUAGGCGGUGUGUCGCGUCGGCCGUGAAAACCUGCAGCUUAACUGUGGGCUUGCGGUCGAUACGGGCAUCACUGGAGUUCGGCAGGGGAGACUGGAAUUCCUGGUGUAGCGGUGAAAUGCGCAGAUAUCAGGAGGAACACCGGUGGCGAAGGCGGCAUCCUGGACCGGCAUUGACGCUGAGGAGCGAAAGCUAGGGGAGCAAACGGG
RNAcentral lists this ribosomal RNA (254 nucleotides) under uncultured bacterium. RNAcentral's name for it is "partial 16S ribosomal RNA". It matches the Rfam family "Bacterial small subunit ribosomal RNA", at positions 524 to 776 of the family's 1533-position model. The record is from RNAcentral.